UACAGAGGUCUCAAGCGUUGUUCGGAUUCAUUGGGCGUAAAGGGUGCGUAGGUGGCGAGGUUAGUCAGGUGUGAAAUCUCGGGGCUCAACCCCGAAACUGCACUUGAUACUGCCUUGCUAGAGUACUGGAGAGGAGAUUGGAAUUUACGGUGUAGCAGUGAAAUGCGUAGAUAUCGUAAGGAAGACCAGUGGCGAAGGCGAAUCUCUGGACAGUUACUGACGCUGAGACGCGAAAGCGUGGGGAGCAAACAGG
RNAcentral lists this ribosomal RNA (253 nucleotides) under uncultured bacterium. RNAcentral describes it as "partial 16S ribosomal RNA". It matches the Rfam family "Bacterial small subunit ribosomal RNA", at positions 524 to 776 of the family's 1533-position model. The record is from RNAcentral.